GAAGGCUGAAAUUCGCCUUCAUGAAGUCGGAAUUGCUAGUAAUGGCAGGUCAGCAUACUGCCGUGAAUACGUUCCCGGGCCUUGUACACACCGCCCGUCACACCAUGAGAGUUGGGAAUACCCGAAGCCUGUGAGCCAACAAACGAGGCAGCAGUCGAAGGUAGAAUCAAUGAUUGGGGUGAAGUCGUAACAAGGUAUC
This 199-nucleotide ribosomal RNA is filed under the name uncultured bacterium. Its description in RNAcentral is "partial 16S ribosomal RNA". It matches the Rfam family "Bacterial small subunit ribosomal RNA", at positions 1300 to 1500 of the family's 1533-position model. The record is from RNAcentral.